UGAGAAUUCUAAGGUGAGCGAGCGAACUCUCGUUAAGGAACUCGGCAAAAUGACCCCGUAACUUCGGGAGAAGGGGUGCUCUUUAGGGUUAACGCCCAGAAGAGCCGCAGUGAAUAGGCCCAAGCGACUGUUUAUCAAAAACACAGGUCUCUGCUAAACCGUAAGGUGAUGUAUAGGGGCUGACGCCUGCCCGGUGCUGGAAGGUUAAGAGGAGUGGUUAGCUUCUGCGAAGCUACGAAUCGAAGCCCCAGUAAACGGCGGCCGUAACUAUAACGGUCCUAAGGUAGCGAAAUUCCUUGUCGGGUAAGUUCCGACCCGCACGAAAGGCGUAACGAUUUGGGCACUGUCUCAACGAGAGACUCGGUGAAAUCAUAGUACCUGUGAAGAUGCAGGUUACCCGCGACAGGACGGAAAGACCCCGUGGAGCUUUACUGUAGCCUGAUAUUGAAAUUCGGCACAGCUUGUACAGGAUAGGUAGGAGCCUUUGAAACGUGAGCGCUAGCUUACGUGGAGGCGCUGGUGGGAUACUACCCUAGCUGUGUUGGCUUUCUAACCCGCACCACUUAUCGUGGUGGGAGACAGUGUCAGGCGGGCAGUUUGACUGGGGCGGUCGCCUCCUAAAAGGUAACGGAGGCGCUCAAAGGUUCCCUCAGAAUGGUUGGAAAUCAUUCAUAGAGUGUAAAGGCAUAAGGGAGCUUGACUGCGAGACCUACAAGUCGAGCAGGGUCGAAAGACGGACUUAGUGAUCCGGUGGUUCCGCAUGGAAGGGCCAUCGCUCAACGGAUAAAAGCUACCCCGGGGAUAACAGGCUUAUCUCCCCCAAGAGUUCACAUCGACGG
This 839-nucleotide ribosomal RNA is filed under the name Staphylococcus aureus. RNAcentral describes it as "partial 23S ribosomal RNA". It matches the Rfam family "Bacterial large subunit ribosomal RNA", at positions 1673 to 2511 of the family's 2925-position model. Lineage: Bacteria; Bacillati; Bacillota; Bacilli; Caryophanales; Staphylococcaceae. The record is from RNAcentral.